GACGAACCGUGCGAACGUUGUUCGGAAUCACUGGGCUUAAAGGGCGCGUAGGCGGGCCGUCCAGUCCGGGGUGAAAGCUUUCGGCUCAACCGGAAAAGUGCCUCGGAUACUGACGGCCUCGAGGGAGGUAGGGGCAGGCGGAACUUCCGGUGGAGCGGUGAAAUGCGUUGAUAUCGGAAGGAACGCCGGUGGCGAAAGCGGCCUGCUGGACCUCUGCUGACGCUGAGGCGCGAAAGCCAGGGGAGCGAACGGG
Molecule: ribosomal RNA, 253 nt
Filed under: uncultured bacterium
Lineage: Bacteria
Description: partial 16S ribosomal RNA
Rfam family: Bacterial small subunit ribosomal RNA
Source: RNAcentral